RNAcentral lists this ribosomal RNA (253 nucleotides) under uncultured bacterium. RNAcentral's name for it is "partial 16S ribosomal RNA". It matches the Rfam family "Bacterial small subunit ribosomal RNA", at positions 524 to 776 of the family's 1533-position model. The record is from RNAcentral.
UACGUAGGUGGCGAGCGUUGUCCGGAUUUACUGGGCGUAAAGAGCGCGCAGGCGGUCGUUCAAGUCGCGUGUGAAAGCCCCCGGCUCAACUGGGGAGGGUCACGCGAUACUGAUCGACUCGAAGGCAGGAGAGGGAAGUGGAAUUCCCGGUGUAGAGGUGAAAUUCGUAGAUAUCGGGAGGAACACCGGUGGCGAAGGCGGCGAUCUGGGUCGAUACUGACGCUGAGGUGCGAAAGCGUGGGGAGCAAACAGG